CACACCUCACAGCCUUAUUAGCAUAAUCGGAACCUUUCUGGUUUUUAUAUUCACGAAAGAAUGAAAAAACCCGAGAAAGUCAAAACUUCGUAUAUCUCGGGAUUUUAACGAGACCAGUCUCAUACUCGUGAAAAUCGAGAGAGGAGUUUAAAUGGAAAAAAUUUACCUGCGGCUUCCAGAUGCUCUGAAGAUCAGGAAUAUAGAAAAUAUUGUCAAUUUGAUAUUGCUAAUGACCCAGUCAAGUCUGCUGAAGCCCAGAAGUUUCCAGACCAUGACAUUAAUGAAUAUUCCUUGAAUGGAAUGCAUGAGGAUUAGAAUGGAACCUUAUUCUGCCUUUUUACCAACUCACACCAUCUUUUCAAGAUUUAUGGAGCCAACCACAGAAGAAUUUUUUCUAUACACAUCAUUCAUAACAUUCUUAUUUAUGUUGCAUAACUUUAAAUGUUAUUGGAUGAAUUGUGUUCACAUAAUGAAUACCAGCAAACUUUUUAUCGAGUGCACUUAAUUCGUAUUUUUCCUACCCAUCCAUCUAACAUAUGUUUUUAUAUUACACAUUCACAUACAUGUUACAUAACAUUUUUGGAAACAGCUAUUUUUUUUUAAAUUGGAAUUUAGCCUUACUAUUUUAUACAAGUUUUUUUUAAAGGGACUUGGACACGAUUAUAGAUCAAAAUUUUGUUUUCAAUUUCUUUAUGCAUAAAAUGAUUUACUUGCACAUUUUGAAUAAUUGACCAUAAUUUGAAUGUUAGAAGUCAAGUUAUAUAAUAGAUACAGGGGUAAGAAUUUAUUGUUAUGUAAACAAAGCUCGAGUCUUAUGUUUGUUUACAAAUAAUAUAAAGUAUGAAAUUACCAUACUGAUUCGAUGUGAUCAUAAAUGAUAUUAAUGAUAUUAUUAAUAGAAAAAAGCAACAUUUGAAUGAAAGUUACACCAAUAAAACACAUAUGUAAAUAAUAACAAGACUCGCGCUUUAUUUACAGAACAAAGAAUAUUUAAUUUAACUCAGUAUUUGACUUUCAAAAUUAGUAUUAUGAUUUUUUUUAGAAUGAUAUAUGCAAUUUCAUUAAUUUAUUUUUCAUUUUAAGAAAAUUCAUUUUAAAAAAGAUCUCUUACAACCUGUGUAUUUUUUUUUCAGUUUUCAGUGUAUUAAUUGAAUGUAGUUGACGUGUAGAUUUAAACAUGUACCUACAAGCAAUAUACAUUUAAUAUUCACCAGGUACAUGUACCAGCCUACUAUAUUUGAUAAAUAAAUGUACUUCUUUCAUGCCUUUUUCAUGCCUUUUACUCAUUGUUAUAUAUAUUAUUUAUUA
Long non-coding RNA from Magallana angulata, 1308 nucleotides. RefSeq lists it as uncharacterized. The record is from RefSeq and is a predicted model, not a curated record. The transcript has 3 exons. NCBI's taxonomy places the organism in Eukaryota, Metazoa, Mollusca, Bivalvia, Ostreida, Ostreidae.